AGGACGGUGGGAAGAGAUUCGAAUGCGACGGUUCCUGGUGCUGGAAGAUUUAUUCCGCGUCUCCACUCUUCCUCUUGACUGGAAAGACCGUCGGCGUCUACAAAAUCUGGCAUGUCCAUAGUUAACGAAUGAAUGUUUUAGAUGAAAAAAUCUAUCGAUCGAGGAUAUGUAUUUAUAGAGAUGAGUGUGUGCUUUUUAGCUUGCCUGCCAAGCUGGCAAUCACAGUGUUAAUGAAGUUACCCGCUCAGAUUGUAUUUCGUUGCUUUUGAUCCAACGGUUACUUUUUUUGACAAGAAGUUGACGAAA
RNAcentral lists this long non-coding RNA (306 nucleotides) under Brassica napus (rape). RNAcentral's name for it is "long non-coding RNA (BNAP_LNC000254)". The record is from RNAcentral. Lineage: Eukaryota; Viridiplantae; Streptophyta; Magnoliopsida; Brassicales; Brassicaceae.